AUUGCCUGUAAGGAAUGUGACCUUGCACUGCUUUUUGCACAGCCUGGGUCCAGAAACCUGUGCCUUCACAGAGGAUCUAGAAACCAGCUGAGGCCAGAAUAGGUCCAACUUAAAGACUGAACUGGGUCUGGGAUCAGACUGGGAAACCAGACUGGGUCUGGGGUUGGACUGGUCCAUUUACCACAGUUUCUGGUAACCAGGAUGAGACCUGCUGGGACACGCCGUUCACCCCAGAGCCUAGAGACGGAUCCUAGGAAAACUGGCAGAAGCUGGAAAAGGGAGAAUAUUCCAAGGAGCAUUCUACAUGGUUUUCCAGAGGGUUCCAGGAAGACUGAGCCCCAGUUGCCCACAGUGGCGACAGACUCAGUAACGUACUCUUGUAUUGGUUGUUCCUCCUCCUCUAUGUUGCAUAUGCUAGUCGCCCACUCCUGUUCCCUGGGAUCACUUCCCAAAUUAACUGCCUUGUCCUCAGUGUGAGAUUUUGGGGGGAAGCUCAGACUAAGAUAGUAACUUUCAAAAAUACUUUUUUAAAGGAAAGAAUGAUUUAGCCUUUUUCCCUUCAACUCUUCCUGACACUUCUGUUGUUUCAAAACUUUUCCUGAGUUGUUUCAAAGCUAUAACUCUAGUUGUCAGAAUUUAACAACAGGUUUGUGUUAGUGGCUGAUCUGUGUCCCUCCACAAUCCAUGUAUUAAAGCCUUAACUCCCAAUACUUCAGAAUGUGACUGCAUCUGGAGACAGGUCUUCAAAGAGAUGAUUAAGUUAAACUGAGGCUGAUGACUAGGUCAUAAUCCAAUCUAUUAUCCCUGUAAGUGUGAACACAGCCAGAAAGUGGUCAUCUGUAAACCAAGGAGAGAGGCCUCAGCAGAAACCAAAACCUGCCAACACUUUGAUCCUCUAGCCCCCAGAACUUGGAAAGAGAAAUAAACUGUGAGAAAUAAAGUUCUUUAU
Molecule: long non-coding RNA, 949 nt
Organism: Phyllostomus hastatus (greater spear-nosed bat)
Lineage: Eukaryota; Metazoa; Chordata; Mammalia; Chiroptera; Phyllostomidae
Exons: 3
Source: RefSeq, a predicted model, not a curated record